ACAGUAAGAAAAGCCCAGUGCUCACUAAAAUUGGAAUGAUACAGAGAAGAUUAGCAUAGCCCCUGUGCAAGGAUGACACACAAAUUCGUGAAAUGUCCCAUAUUUUU
This is a small nuclear RNA of Myotis lucifugus (little brown bat), 107 nucleotides long. NCBI's taxonomy places the organism in Eukaryota, Metazoa, Chordata, Mammalia, Chiroptera, Vespertilionidae. The record is from Ensembl.